CCUGCGGAGGGAUCAUUA
RNAcentral lists this ribosomal RNA (18 nucleotides) under Penicillium sp. Its description in RNAcentral is "partial 18S ribosomal RNA". RNAcentral also lists the same sequence under 70 other names. The record is from RNAcentral. Lineage: Eukaryota; Fungi; Ascomycota; Eurotiomycetes; Eurotiales; Aspergillaceae.